Molecule: long non-coding RNA, 904 nt
Organism: Trifolium pratense (red clover)
Lineage: Eukaryota; Viridiplantae; Streptophyta; Magnoliopsida; Fabales; Fabaceae
Exons: 3
Source: RefSeq, a predicted model, not a curated record
AUUUUCAUUAUAUUUUUCUCAACAAAGAAGAGAACAGAGAAAGAUCUGAAAACAACCGUACGCGUCUCACUCCAAACAAACCGCUCCUCCGUCUCACUCUAAAAACAACCGUACGCGUCUCCAUCUCACUCCAAACUCACAAACUGCUCCUCCGUUUUAGAUCUGAACACGCAGCUUCUCUGUUAGUGAACACGACGCUUCAAGCUUCUCAGUUAGUGAACACGCCGCUUCUCACCACUGUUGUUUGAUUUCGUUAACCUCACUUCCUUUUCAAUUUAUGAUUUCUAUUUGGUUUCAAUAAAUUUCGUUAGGGUUUUAUAAUUUCUCUACUUCGGGUUUCAAUCAUUUAUCUAAUUAGGGUUUCCUUCUUCUUAUGAAUGAAUUGAUUUGUCAUUGAAAAGAUUUGAAAUGUUUUCUGUGUGCUUUUUGUAGGACUGGUUAUAGGACUGCAUAUAGUGUUGGUUGAUUGAAGGUUGAUUGUUAGAGGAAGGGAGUAACAACAAGAAAGAAUCAUUUGAGCCUCGAUUUAAAUUUAUGACUAUUGAAGCUCUUGCAAAGAGAUAUUGCAAGCUUAGCAUUUCAAAGAAGUGGGCUACACAUAGACAAAAUUUGUGGGUUACCUUCUAUGAUCCAUCAAAAUCCCGAGAUGAAAUCAUAAGUAAUGUUCCUAGAGGUAUAAACCCAAUUCAAUGGGCUCAUUUUGUAAACUACCGUUUGAAACCAGAAACGCAGGAGCAUUGUAGAAAAAAUAAAGAAAAUCGAAGCAAACAAGUUAUUCCUCAUACUGAUGGUUCUAAACAUCUUUCGAGAAAAAGACAUGAGAUGGUAGUUUUACUAAAUUAACUUCAUAUUUUUACCAAAUAUAAUUUACUACCAAUUUUGACAUAUUUUCUGUUUUAGUUUU